Molecule: transfer RNA, 152 nt
Filed under: Leichhardtia assimulata
Lineage: Eukaryota; Viridiplantae; Streptophyta; Magnoliopsida; Gentianales; Apocynaceae
Description: partial tRNA-His
Source: RNAcentral
AGAAAUAAAUAUAAAUAGAAGAAAUAAAUAUAAAGAGUAUAAAGAGAGCGAGGGGGCGGAUGUUUAGAAGAAAUAAAUAUAAAGAGUAUAAAGAGUAUAAAGAGAGCGAAGGGGCGGAUGUAGCCAAGUGGAUCAAGGCAGUGGAUUUGUGA